Molecule: ribosomal RNA, 469 nt
Filed under: uncultured Methanomicrobiales archaeon
Lineage: Archaea; Methanobacteriati; Methanobacteriota; Methanomicrobia; Methanomicrobiales
Description: bacterial SSU rRNA
Rfam family: Archaeal small subunit ribosomal RNA
Source: RNAcentral
CGGGGAGCACCACAACAGGUGGAGCCUGCGGUUUAAUCGGACUCAACGCCGGGAAACUCACCAGAUAAGACAGCUGAAUGAUAGUCGGGCUGAAGACUCUACUUGACUAGCUGAGAGGAGGUGCAUGGCCGUCGUCAGUUCGUACUGUGAAGCAUCCUGUUAAGUCAGGCAACGAGCGAGACCCACGCCAACAGUUGCCAGCUCGUCCUCCGGGAUGGUGGGGACACUGUUGGAACCGCCUCUGCUAAAGAGGAGGAAGGAAUGGGCAACGGUAGGUCAGCAUGCCCCGAAUUAUCUGGGCUACACGCGGGCUACAAUGGGUGGGACAAUGGGUAUCGACACCGAAAGGUGAAGGCAAUCUCCUAAACCCAUCCGUAGUUCGGAUUGUGGGCUGCAACUCGCCCACAUGAAGCUGGAAUCUGUAGUAAUCGUGUCUCAAAAUGGCACGGUGAAUAUGUCCCUGCUCCUU